AGUGAACGCUGGCGGUAGGCCUAACACAUGCAAGUCGAACGGCAGCACAGUAAGAGCUUGCUCUUACGGGUGGCGAGUGGCGGACGGGUGAGGAAUACAUCGGAAUCUACCUUUUCGUGGGGGAUAACGUAGGGAAACUUACGCUAAUACCGCAUACGACCUACGGGUGAAGGCAGGGGAUCUUCGGACCUUGCGCGAUUGAAUGAGCCGAUGUCGGAUUAGCUAGUUGGCGGGGUAAAGGCCCACCAAGGCGACGAUCCGUAGCUGGUCUGAGAGGAUGAUCAGCCACACUGGAACUGAGACACGGUCCAGACUCCUACGGGAGGCAGCAGUGGGGAAUAUUGGACAAUGGGCGCAAGCCUGAUCCAGCCAUACCGCGUGGGUGAAGAAGGCCUUCGGGUUGUAAAGCCCUUUUGUUGGGAAAGAAAAGCAGCAGGUUAAUACCCCGCUGUUCUGACGGUACCCAAAGAAUAAGCACCGGCUAACUUCGUG
This 492-nucleotide ribosomal RNA is filed under the name uncultured bacterium. RNAcentral's name for it is "partial 16S ribosomal RNA". It matches the Rfam family "Bacterial small subunit ribosomal RNA", at positions 29 to 507 of the family's 1533-position model. The record is from RNAcentral.